GAUGAACGCUGGCGGCGUGCCUAAUACAUGCAAGUCGAGCGCGAGAGUGAGGAGCUUGCUCCUCAUAAUCGAGCGGCGGACGGGUGGGUAACACGUAGGCAACCUACCCUUGAGAUUGGGAUAACUACCGGAAACGGUAGCUAAUACCGGAUACGACUUUUCCACACAAGUGGAAUGGUUAAAAGGCGGAUUUAUCUGCCGCUCAUGGAUGGGCCUGCGGUGCAUUAGCUAGUUGGUGAGGUAGUGGCUCACCAAGGCGACGAUGCAUAGCCGACCUGAGAGGGUGAUCGGCCACACUGGGACUGAGACACGGCCCAGACUCCUACGGGAGGCAGCAGUAGGGAAUCUUCCGCAAUGGACGCAAGUCUGACGGAGCAACGCCGCGUGAGUGAUGGAGGGUUUCGGCUCGUAAAACUCUGUUGUUAAGGAAGAACACUUGAGGUAGUAACUGGCCUUGAGAUGACGGUACUUAACCAGAAAGCCACGGCUAACUACGUGCCAGCAGCCGCGGUAA
Molecule: ribosomal RNA, 514 nt
Filed under: uncultured bacterium
Lineage: Bacteria
Description: partial 16S ribosomal RNA
Rfam family: Bacterial small subunit ribosomal RNA
Source: RNAcentral